UACGUAGGCAGCAAGCGUUGUUCGGAAUUACUGGGCGUAAAGAGUGUGUAGGCGGUGUUCUAAGUCUGGUGUGAAAUCUCCCGGCUCAACUGGGAGGGUGCGCCGGAAACUGGAAUGCUCGAGUAUGGGAGAGGUAAGCGGAAUUCCUGGUGUAGCGGUGAAAUGCGUAGAUAUCAGGAGGAACACCCGUGGUGUAGACAGCUUACUGGACCAUCACUGACGCUGAGACACGAAAGCGUGGGUAGCAAACAGG
Molecule: ribosomal RNA, 253 nt
Filed under: uncultured bacterium
Lineage: Bacteria
Description: partial 16S ribosomal RNA
Rfam family: Bacterial small subunit ribosomal RNA
Source: RNAcentral